This 551-nucleotide ribosomal RNA is filed under the name uncultured bacterium. RNAcentral describes it as "bacterial SSU rRNA". It matches the Rfam family "Bacterial small subunit ribosomal RNA", at positions 56 to 586 of the family's 1533-position model. The record is from RNAcentral.
UGCAGUCGUGCGGGAAAGGGCUUCGGCCCUAGUACCGCGGCAGACGGGUGAGUAACACGUGAGUAACCUGUCCUCGGGUCUGGGAUAACCAUCCGAAAGGAUGGCUAAUACCGGAUAAAGUCACCGGGCGCAAGCCCGGUGAUGAAAGGGGGCCUCUGCAUAGCAAGCUCCUGCCUGAGGAGGGGCUCGCGGCCCAUCAGCUAGUUGGUGGGGUAACGGCCCACCAAGGCUAUGACGGGUAGCCGGCCUGAGAGGGUGGUCGGCCACACGGGCACUGAGACACGGGCCCGACUCCUACGGGAGGCAGCAGUGGGGAAUCUUGGGCAAUGGGCGAAAGCCUGACCCAGCGACGCCGCGUGGGGGAGGAAGGCCUUCGGGUCGUAAACCCCUGUUCUGGGGGAAGAACCCUGACUGGGUUAAGAGCUCAGUCAGGCUGACGGUACCCCAGGAGAAGGCCACGGCUAACUGCGUGCCAGCAGCCGCGGUAAUACGCAGGUGGCGAGCGUUGCCCGGAAUUACUGGGCGUAAAGGGUGCGUAGGUGGCUGGACAA